CGGGUGAGUAACGCGUGGAUAACCUGCCUCACACAGGGGAGUAACAGUUAGAAAUGACUGCUAAUACCGCAUAAGCGCACGGUACCGCAUGGUACAGUGUGAAAAACUCCGGUGGUGUGAGAUGGAUCCGCGUCUGAUUAGGUAGUUGGUGAGGUAACGGCCCACCAAGCCGACGAUCAGUAGCCGACCUGAGAGGGUGAUCGGCCACAUUGGGACUGAGACACGGCCCAA
RNAcentral lists this ribosomal RNA (231 nucleotides) under uncultured bacterium. RNAcentral describes it as "partial 16S ribosomal RNA". It matches the Rfam family "Bacterial small subunit ribosomal RNA", at positions 103 to 334 of the family's 1533-position model. The record is from RNAcentral.